This 796-nucleotide long non-coding RNA is filed under the name Elaeis guineensis (African oil palm). RNAcentral's name for it is "long non-coding RNA (EGUI_LNC003126)". The record is from RNAcentral. Lineage: Eukaryota; Viridiplantae; Streptophyta; Magnoliopsida; Arecales; Arecaceae.
CUUAGCUACAAGAUCGCUCAUUUGCUAGAUUUUUGUUUCUUAGUUUAAAAGGAGGCCAAGAAAGCCACCAACAUUUAUUAGAAGGAAAAAGAAUUUAUAAGAGAAACAAUCAUCCUAGGUAGGGGGCACACAAAAAUAAUAUAAAUUAUGGAAUCAUUCAUACAAAAGGGAGAACAUAGUUGAUAGGAAGGAGAAGAAUAAAAAUAGCAAAACUAAACAACAAAGAAAAACUAGUCAAUCGGCCCACAAGGAUCAUCUUCAGAAGAUUUCUUUAACAAGCCAAAUAUUUUCUCGACAGAUAUUGAAAUAUAGGCCCAACUAUGGUCUAUCACAAGGAUUUGAGGCAUAAAUCAAUAGUUUUGGUGGAUGGCAAGCUAGCAUAAGAGUUCUCCCCAUUUCUAAUUGUCAGAUUUUCAUAGUUGUCGUGUAUGUUUUUCUCUUCUUUUUUUUUUUUGAGCUCCCAAAAACCCAAUGUAUUACCAAACAAAAAAAAAAAAGAGUCUCCACUUCAUCAUCAAUAAGGAAGUGCUUGGAGGCUCCCCUCUUCCUAUAAUAUUUCUUAGCCAUGUAUGAAGUAUGCAUAUGGUCCACACAAUAUAUAUUUUUCCAUUUAAUCAACAAUCACUAUAAAAGCAAGUAGAAAAAAAUAACAUUUAGAUCAUAAAAAAAAAGAAUGGGAUUCAUAACAAAAGGCUUCAAACUCAAACAAAAAAAAAGAGGAAAAAAUGGCUAACAAAUCUUACCAAUGGUAGUAGGCUUGAGGAGAAGAGGAACGGCAAGGAAGAGAUAGGAAAGA